Molecule: long non-coding RNA, 242 nt
Filed under: Gorilla gorilla gorilla (western lowland gorilla)
Lineage: Eukaryota; Metazoa; Chordata; Mammalia; Primates; Hominidae
Description: lncRNA (ENSGGOG00000044671.1)
Source: RNAcentral
CUUGGAAUCCAAUUGUCCAAAGAGCUACUCUCUCUCUUCAGCCAUCGCUGACCUUAUGAACAUUAAAGACUGUCCUGGGAUGCAUUUGGAGCCAGGAAUCUUUGUGUUUGAACCAAAAUCCAACUCUAAUCCACAGACAUCAAGCUCUCAUGUCAACAGGACAGAAUACUAUAAGUAGAAGCUUUUUCAGUUGGAUUUUGCUCUGGGUAAAUGAAUUCAAACACAGUGAAGCAGGAGGCGGG